This 86-nucleotide transfer RNA is filed under the name compost metagenome. Its description in RNAcentral is "tRNA-Arg". The record is from RNAcentral.
UGGUGAUCGGCUGGGGCGCGGCCGGCGCCUGCGCGGCGCUGGAAGCCCGCGCCCAGGGCGCCGACGUGCUGGUCGCCGACCGCUUC